UACGGAGGAUCCAAGCGUUAUCCGGAAUCAUUGGGUUUAAAGGGUCCGUAGGCGGUCAGAUAAGUCAGUGGUGAAAGCCCAUCGCUCAACGGUGGAACGGCCAUUGAUACUGUCUGACUUGAAUUAUUAGGAAGUAACUAGAAUAUGUAGUGUAGCGGUGAAAUGCUUAGAUAUUACAUGGAAUACCAAUUGCGAAGGCAGGUUACUAACAAUAUAUUGACGCUGAUGGACGAAAGCGUGGGGAGCGAACAGG
Molecule: ribosomal RNA, 253 nt
Filed under: uncultured bacterium
Lineage: Bacteria
Description: partial 16S ribosomal RNA
Rfam family: Bacterial small subunit ribosomal RNA
Source: RNAcentral